This 275-nucleotide unclassified non-coding RNA is filed under the name plant metagenome. Its description in RNAcentral is "partial contains small subunit ribosomal RNA and internal transcribed spacer 1". The stretch from base 1 to 47 matches the Rfam family "Eukaryotic small subunit ribosomal RNA", at positions 1785 to 1831 of the family's 1831-position model. The record is from RNAcentral.
AAGGUCGUAACAAGGUUUCCGUAGGUGAACCUGCGGAAGGAUCAUUACAAAGUAAAUGCCGGUAGGAGGUGGGGUCUUGAUCUGUAAGUGGUAGAGCGAACAGUCCGGCUGCCUCCCGAAAUGUCUUACAUGCCCCCAACAGCCUGAAGGCCGAAUUACAACCCCUUGAUUUAUCUACACUCGUUGCUUUGGGGGAUGCCAGUCCCAAGGUGCCAGGAGCCCUAAAUUCUCUUGCAUUUCAGUGGACGUCUGAGUACUAUAUAAUAUUUCAAAAG